AUACGGAGGGGGCUAGCGUUGUUCGGAAUUACUGGGCGUAAAGCGUACGCAGGCGGAUAUUUAAGUUAGGUGUGAAAUCCCAGGGCUCAACCCUGGAACUGCACUUAAAACUGGGUAUCUAGAGUUAUGGAGAGGUAAGUGGAAUUCCUAGUGUAGAGGUGAAAUUCGUAGAUAUUAGGAGGAACACCAGAGGCGAAGGCGGCUUACUGGACAUAUACUGACGCUGAGGUACGAAAGUGUGGGGAGCAAACGGGAUUAGAUACCCUAGUAGUCC
Molecule: ribosomal RNA, 274 nt
Filed under: uncultured bacterium
Lineage: Bacteria
Description: partial 16S ribosomal RNA
Rfam family: Bacterial small subunit ribosomal RNA
Source: RNAcentral